Molecule: unclassified non-coding RNA, 2424 nt
Filed under: Citrus tristeza virus
Lineage: Riboviria; Orthornavirae; Kitrinoviricota; Alsuviricetes; Martellivirales; Closteroviridae
Rfam family: Citrus tristeza virus replication signal (bases 2152-2423)
Source: RNAcentral
CAAAUUCACCCGUACCCUCCGGAAAUCACGUCCGGACGCUGCGGGAAUCGGUGUAAAUCCCGGCAAAUUGACCCACUACCCCCAUACAAACAAAUAUACAUGUCGAAACUCGGAGCUCGCUUCAAGUCCUCGACUUUCGCUGUACGCAGCAUUACAUCAUCUCGCGCAUCUAGGCGCUUUAACACCGUUGGAGUCCUGCACUUCUUCGGUACUGAAACAACACCCAAGGUGGUUAAGGAAUUUUCGCUCCUCAGACCGAUAGUCCCUCUACGGAAAUCCUGUUUUCCGUUUUCUGUUCGCGCUGCUGUUCGCGCGAUUAAAGCUGCCGGACGUCCCAUUGCGUCCGCGCUCUGGAUGCCUCUGUGGCCUCCCUGUUAUCGACACAUCUGGUGUCAUACGUCCGCUCUGUUCGCGGGCAUUUGGAGGUAUUCUCUGUGUAAACCUCCCCUUACUGCCGCCGCCAAGAAGUCCAUUCGCAAGGCGAAGAAAGAUUCUGCUUUCUUUCUUAGCCGGGCUUCUUCACUCUUCUCACGGGAAGUCCCCUGCGGCACGCGUCAUAGACUUCGUAGGCGCGUUAUGAAACGAGUAGACCCUACCAUGCACGAGAGUCCCCAAGACGAGAUCAAACUUAAGGGACGCCGACAUGGCAAGAAUUCUGACCUCCCGUAUAUGGGGGAAGCGGCGUUGGAUGAUAUCCUUCGCUGGAUUGAGGGGGUAAAUCCCCCGCCGUCGAUGGUCGCCAUUCCGGUGCCCAUCUCUUUCGGCGCCGUGCCCACAACGGCAUGGUGCUCUCCUGCUGACGCGGCUGUUUUGCGGUGUCGUUUAGACUACCACGCCGCUGAGACUUCCUUUCGUGACGAAAGGAAGCACGUGAGAUACGUCUAUAAUGACGUGUCUUCUGCUGCCAACCGUCCUCGUACGUUUCUCCGCAAGUGCGGGCGUGUUUUCAGCGGUUCUGCGCUGGGUGUUGAGGUCCCGAGCACUAGGGAUCGCCAUACCGCUUUCGUGAGAUCUACUCACGCUAGCGUUUUCUUCUCCCAGUUCGCCGUUCGCAUGUUCCGUCCUGGGCGGAAUAAUUUCUUCACUAGCGUCGUUAGUGGGCGGCGCGUUAGUUACUUUAGGCCCGGACCUAAUGGUACGUGUCUGUUUUAGAAAUUGAGAAAUUGUCGGUUUACUCGUGACAAGCUACUCUGUACCAGCGCAACAGAUACCAUGGGCUUCUUCGUUAUGAGGUACAUGAGUUCUAGUCACACCAGUUUCGAGUCCGUAAUGCGAACGGAGUUGAAAUUAGUGGUUAAAGCGGUACUGUCGGAUUUAUCCCGCGCGCAUAAACUAGACUUUAGCGAGCGAGCCUUUGCAGCUUACGGUAUCCUUUUACAAAAGGGUACUGUAGCGACUGUUUGCGGUCAGUUUGACAUUAAUUUAGUUUCUCCAUCUUGCGUGUAGGUUAAUACGCUUCUCAGAACGUGUGGUUGUAUUAACUAACUUUAAUUCGAACAAAUUAUUGUUAAGAGUCUGCGAGUUACGAUGGACGAUACUAGCGGACAAACUUUCAUUUCUGUGAACCUUUCUGACGAAAGCAACACAGCUAGCACUGAAGUCAAAACCGUAAGUUUGGAAGCGGAUCGCUUGGAAUUUUUACGGAAAAUGAAUCCCUUUAUUAUCGACGCUUUGAUACGGAAAACUAGUUAUCUGGGUGCCUUUCGCGCGAGAAUAAUAGGAGUGUGCGUGGAUUGUGGUAGAAAACACGAUAAGGCAUCGAGGACUGAACGUAAGUGUAAAGUCAACAACACACAAUCUCAGAACGAGGUGGCGCAUAUGUUAAUGCACGAUCCCGUGAAAUAUUUAAAUAAAAGAAAAGCUAGAGCUUUUUCUAACGCAGAGAUGUUUGCGAUCGAUUUGGUUAUGCAUACCAAAGAAAGGCAAUUAGCGGUUGAUUUGGCCGCUGAAAGGGAGAAGACGAGAUUGGCUCGUAGACACCCGAUGCGUUCUCCGGAGAACUCCAGACAUUAUAAGUUCGGUAUGACUGCUAAGGCAAUGUUACCGAACAUCAACGCUAUAGACGUUGGUGAUAACGAAGACACUUCGUCGGAAUACCCAGUGAGUCUGAGUGUUUCAGGCGGAGUUCUCCGUGAACACCACUUCAUCUGAUUGAAGUGGACGGAAUAAGUUCCUUGCGGAACUUUAUGUCGGGUUGGUAAAAACCCUUAUGAUGGUGAUGUAUCACUAGACAAUAACCGGAUGGGUAAAGUCUUUAAAAUGAUCGAGGGGAAAAUUAACCAUAUCCUCUCGUUGGUCUAAGCUCCCACAGAGUGUAGUGGUCUCAAGUGAGGCUUAACGUAUGCGUGAACCAAAGAAGUUCUCCUUAGAGUGUGUGUUGUUUACCCAACACACUGUCCCUAUGGGGGGCCAACAUAGGUCCAU